RNAcentral lists this long non-coding RNA (557 nucleotides) under Ananas comosus (pineapple). RNAcentral describes it as "long non-coding RNA (ACOM_LNC041425)". The record is from RNAcentral. Lineage: Eukaryota; Viridiplantae; Streptophyta; Magnoliopsida; Poales; Bromeliaceae.
AACUAACUUGCAGUUGCCUCCCUUGGACCUAUUGGUCGAGCUUUUCCCUUGGGUGGCCGUACCCACUGGGAACCAUGGAGUUGGUUCUCACCCCACGUGGUUUUGGGGUGUUACAGGUUCACACGUGAGCGGCGCGGCGGCGCGAGGCGAAGGCGUAGCAUCAUAGUUAGCGCCCUACCACCGAGACCAGAGAUAGCGGUACCCUGAGUCGGCUUUUCUUAAAGAUGUAAGAAAAUGAAAGGAAUAAGAUUGUAAUAAUCAUGUUAAAUCGGAUUGUAUUUGGAAGUUAAAUGUAAUAAGUAUUUGGGAUGUAAAAUGUAUGAAUGUGAAUGCAUGUAAUAACAUAAGAUGUGUUAUGUUGUUUGAUACCUUCCAUUAUGCAAUCUUGAUUGAAAUGUGUUCCUGGUUGGAACUUCGUACAUUGUAUUGAUUACGAUGCCUUGAAUGUACAGGGGAGACUCUGUCCGCGGUACAGGGGAAACCCUGUCCGUUCGGCGGUCUGUCGGCGGCGCUGCGACCCGGCCAAAUAGGCGGGUGGUUGCGGGGCGUGACAUGGC